UAAAGAAGACUGUUCUCCGUGCAGGAAUAUUGGGCAAAGAUAUACAGAAGUUUGCCGUGCUCUGCUGCAGGGUCACAUGAAUGAUCAAAGACACAGCAGGGCGGCAUUCCCACCGGAGUCUACUGACCGCAGGCUGAGUGAUGGAAAGCAACAAACGUGAUGAAUACAGCCCCUAAAGAUGUAAUGGAUGCAAACUGAAACCACAUUGUUGCCAUGGAACCAGCAACUUGCUCCUUCCCCGUGUGCCGGUCCGAUUGUCUGCCCUGGCCCUGAUUGUUUCCACCUGUGCCCCUAUUUUCUAGAUCCUUUUUGUUCUUAGAUAUAGCACAGGGUCUUUUCCUA
This is a long non-coding RNA of Gasterosteus aculeatus aculeatus (three-spined stickleback), 342 nucleotides long. Lineage: Eukaryota; Metazoa; Chordata; Actinopteri; Perciformes; Gasterosteidae. The record is from Ensembl.